This is a non-coding RNA of Ictidomys tridecemlineatus (thirteen-lined ground squirrel), 4832 nucleotides long. NCBI's taxonomy places the organism in Eukaryota, Metazoa, Chordata, Mammalia, Rodentia, Sciuridae. The record is from RefSeq and is a predicted model, not a curated record.
UUUUAUUUAGAGACAGAGGUCGCUUAGCACCUCGCUUUUGCUGAGGCUGGCUUUUGAACUCACAAUCCUCCUGCCUCAGCCUCAGGAGCUGCUGAGAUUAUAGGCGUGACUGUGCCUGGUCCUGCUUUCUGAAUUUGAUUACUGUAAGCACCUCACAUGAAGUGGAAUCAUAAAGUACUUGGUGUUUUACUGGCUUAUCAUUUUACUUAAUGUAAUGUUUUCAAGGUUCAUUUUGAACUGGCACAGAUCCAAAUUUCUUUCCUUAAAAGCCAUUUUAUAUACACAGUAUAUUUUGUUCAUCCACACAUCUGAUGGUAAAUACAUGGAUUGUUUCUACCUUUUGUUAUUGUGAAUGGUGUUGCCAGGAAUGCACAUAUAUCUCUGAAUUCCUACUUUUAAAUCUUUUGGAAAUGUCCCCAGUGGUGGAAUUGCUGAAGAACCUGGUUGCCCAGGUAUGGUUCACCAUUUUGCAUUCCUGUCAACAGUGUGUGUGAGGGUUCUAAUUUCUUCCCAUCCAUACCAGUGCUUGUUAUUUUGUAAUUUUUUAGAUUAAAGAAGAAUAUCCUGGUGGAUAUGUCACCUUCAUUUUUGAAACAUAAUUCUGCUAGGUGUAAACUUUUGAGUUAAGGGUCUUUUGUUUCCAAACUUUUAAAGAUAACAUCCACUGUCCUCUGGCUUGCAAAAUGUCUGCUGCUAUUAUUAAUCUUUGUUCCCCUGUGUAUGCUUUUACCCCUUCUUGUUUUCUUCAAGAUUUUCUCUAUUAGCAAUUUGACUAUUAAUUACCUAGGAUUUCUCCCCCACUUCAUUAUAUUUAUCCUGUUUGGAUUUUUCUUGGCUUCUUGUUUAUUGUCUUUAACCAUAAUUUUGGAAAAUUUCCAGAAUUAUUAACUGUAUCUACUUUGUGUGUUUUCUCUUUGAGAUUCAAGUUAUAGUGUUAGACUGGAUUAUCUGAACAUGUUAGAUGCUCUGUUCUUUUGGUGCACCGUUUUUUUCUUCCUUAUGCUUCGGUUUGGAUAAUUUUUAUUUAUGUAACUUGAAAUUUAGAUUCUUUUCUCUGCUAUGUUUAGUCUAUAAAAGUUGACCAAAAAAAUAUUAUUUAUGUUGAUAGCAUGUGUUUUUCUCCCUGGAUUUCCACUUGGAUGUUUUUCAUAGUUUCCAUCUCUGCUGAUCUUCCCCGUCUGUUCAUGCACUUGGUGACACAUUCUGUCCUAUACACUCCCGUGCCCUGACAGUGGGUAAUCGUUUCCUGUGUUGGUCUCCUCAGAGCAGAUUAUCUGCCUUAGGCAUUCAGUUCAUCUCUUGGCUUUGUACCCUCAGCUCCCUAAACGGUUCAGAAAAGUUAGGGUUUUGUAAUUUAUCCUGCUUUUUUCUCCACCCUGUUAGGGUGGGAAUGACUUUCUUGCAGCUUUCUACACUGUGACUAAAAGCAGGAGUGAUAAGUCAGUUUGUAUUCAGACUUUCAGCAUUUCAUAUGAAGACAGACUGACUGCUGUUUAAAGAUGACAUUAAAGUGUCAGUAAAUGACUUUAUCAUCAAGGCAGCAGCUGUUACUCUUAAAAUGAAGAAAUUGAAAAUUAAAGGGGCUCACAAACUAAUAUUAGCAGUUUAAAGACCAUUUAAUCAACAAACACUAAUUGAAGAACCGGGUAUGGUGGUGCACACCUAUAAUCCCAGCUACUUGGGAGGCUGAGGCAGGAGGAUCACAAGUUCAAGGCCAGGCUCAGCAACUUAGCAAGGCCCUAAAAAACUUAGUGACACCCUAUCUUAAAAUAAAUAUGGCUCAGUGGUUAAAGGGUCCUGGGUUAAAAAAACAAAUACUAAUUGAACCACUGUCUUAUGCUAAAUAUAUUUUAAGCAUUUAAGCAUUAGAGAGUAAUGAACAAAAGCCUAUGUAGUUUCUGCUCUCAUGGGUAUGAUAUUCUAGAGGGGGUCCAGUAAACAUGUCAGGUGGUGAAAAUGUUAAGGAGAAAAAGAAAGCAGGAUAAAGAGCCAAAAUACUAGGUGCUGUUUUUUAAGAGUUAAGGAAAGCCUCUCUGGCAAGGCUACAGAUAACAGAGGCAGGAAUCAACAAAAGAGGGGGAGUGAGCAAACUAGGUGUGUGGUGGAGGAGCAAACCAGAGGCUCCGAGGACUGUGUUGUGUUAUCCAGAGUCACAGCCCUGAGGGUGUAGUGUGUCAAGAGUGGACAGAGUGGAGAGAUUUUUAAAGAAGCAAAAAAGAAGGAUUCAAAGGGAAACCAAAGGCCUCUUUGAGGCCUUCUCAGCCGUGGUGAAGACUAGUGCUUUUAUUAUGAAUGAGAAAGAUGCUUUUGGAAGUUUUAAGCAAAGGACUAAUGUGAUCAGACUUACUUUUAGAGGUGGGAGGCUGCUCUGGUCAUGUGUGACUAUAGCCAGUGAGGAGGCUGCAGAAGAUGACCGUGGCUCCGACUUGGGGUAGCAGUGGAGCUGCAGUGAAGGGAGGUUUUGGUUACAUUUCAGAAGUAGAGCCAACGGCCCUUAAUAAUGGAUUUGAUAUGGGACCUGGGAGAAAAAAUAAGGAGUUCUUUUCAAGCAGUGGGAUGGGUAGACUUACUCCAUUACUAAGACUGGGAAAACGGGGAGAGAAGCAAGUUUGAGGUAGGGAGUCUCUAGUUUGCUUUUGGGUGUGUUAAGUUUGAGGAGCCUAAUAGGUGUUGCAGUUUGGCUAGCAGGAAGACAGGUGGAGUGGAGGUGGCUGGCUGGAGAUGUAAUCUAGAGCCCAGCUUCCUGCCUUCCCACUCAAUGCCAUUUUCCAUCCUGCCUUCUCUCUGUAAUGAGGCUGUUUUCUAAGUUGCUACUUGUUUAAUAACAUAUUUGAAUUGCACUUAAAAUGGAUUCAUUUUUAUUUCUCAAAAAAUACAAUAAUGGAGAACUUUGAAGGCAAGCCUUUUCAACAUUUUUUUUGAUGUCAUAUGGCUUUUCUCUUAACCAAAUAUUUUGAACUAUAGUAAUGACUUUUCUAAUCACAAAUCAUUUUUAUACUCCCUAAAAAUGACUCUCUAGUGGUCAUUAGCUGUUUGCUAAGUUUCUUUUGUAUAUCAGAAACUAUAAGUAAUUAUGAUUUAAAUUUUAUACUAGCUUUGUCAGGUCUUUCUUUUAUUUGUUUUCUCUGUGCUCAUUUCAAUAAGGAUUUUUAUUUCUUAAAGUUUUAUAGAACUCACCAGUGAAAUUUUGAACCUAGUUCUGUUUUGAGGAGGGCAUCCUGGCUGUUUUUCUAUGUUUUUCCCCUAUAGUUAUUGAUCUCUUUAACUUUUAAUUUUAUCUUAAACCAAUUAUGAAAACUUGUAUGUUCCCAGAAAAAUCAACUUUUGCAUCUAUAUUCUCAAACUUAUUAGCUUAGCAUCAUUUAAAUUUAUUUCUUAUAAUUAUUUAAAUGUUCUCAUUGUCCGAAGCUAUUUGAAACUCUGUAUUGUUUCUAUAAUUGCAUGUUUUGUGUUUUCAGUUUAUUUUAUUUUGCAAUUUUUCCUUUAUUUUCUUAGACUCAUUUGGUUAGAAAUAUUUGGUUAGAAAACUGAAUGUAUAAUUCAUUUUAAUUCUAUUUUUAUUAACAAGGCUUAAGAUUAUAAUAAAUUUUGCUUUGGAUGCAACUUAGACCGUGUCCCAUGGUUUUUUAUUACAUAAUUUCCUAAUUGAAUUUAUUUGCCAGAUAGUCUUCAUUUGUGAGGGGUUUUUGGUUUGGCUUGGGUUUUAGUUUUACUUUAGUGUUGUCAGAAUUUAAAAAUCUUACAGGGGUUUGAACCUCAUUUUUUAUUUUGACAUUAUCUCAUUGUUGAUUGAAUGAAUGACCUGAGCCUUAAAAGAUGGAGAAAUGUAAAGAGCAAUGAAGAAAUGAUGUGAAGGCCAUCCUGAAAAGUGCACAAGCCCAGCAUGGCAGUGAGAGGUUGGACCAAGAGAGAAUUCAUCUUAGGGAAGUCAUUACAAAUAAAAUGACAUCAGUACUGUGGAAUCAAAAUUGUGCACCACCGUUCUUAAAUGGCAUAGUGAACAGCUUGGAUCUUAUUCUGUAGAAAGCAAAGAGUUUUGGGGAUGAGGGCUGGGGUUGUGGCUCACUGGCACAGCACUUACUGACAUGUAUGGGGCCCUGGGUUUGAUUCUCAGCACCACAUAUAAAUAACUAAAAUAAAUAUCUGUUGACAACUAAAAAUACAUUUAAAAAAAAAGAAUUUUGGGAAUGAGAAAUUAGCUUUUUAUGUCUAUUUUCAUUUCUCUCUCAUCUUGUGAUAUUUGACACAAUGCACUAUUUCCAUGCAUAUAGUCAUCCCAUCUGUUUUUCCCUCCAUCUUUCAAUAUAGUUGUUUGUAUGUUAAAUGUGUACAUGCUCAUAUGUAGUAUGUAUCUUAUGAAGCUUGGGAAACCUCUUUAAAUUGGGUAGUCAUUUAUUGAGGGUUUGCUAAUAUAUACUCCAGAGCUGUGCUAAAAAGUCAGGCUUCCUUUAUGCCAAAGGAAUGUAGUUGAAUAUCACUAACCCUUUCUGCUCCCUUCUCCCCCUCAAGGUCAUAUUGCAUAUCAUGAGGCAGGAAGCAUAAUGAUCAUUAACUGUCUUCUGGCAAUUAGUUUUAAUAAAGGAAACCCUUUUUUAGCCAUGAUGUAAAAAGAUCAGAACAUACACCAUCAGGAUUUCCUCAAGCUUGCUUCAAAAAAUAUGUGUUUAAAAAAAUUAUUUUUCUUAAACAUAAAUAAUAAACAACAUAGAGAUUGGAACCAUGUUAUGUAUUUUCUUCUAUCCAACUAUAUUCACUUUGGAAAAUAGAUAAAAUGUUAAUUAUUUUUCUGUAACCACCUCAGUCUAAAGUUUUAAUAACAUGUUUUUUUCUGC